This 557-nucleotide ribosomal RNA is filed under the name uncultured Rhizobium sp. Its description in RNAcentral is "bacterial SSU rRNA". It matches the Rfam family "Bacterial small subunit ribosomal RNA", at positions 102 to 694 of the family's 1533-position model. The record is from RNAcentral. Lineage: Bacteria; Pseudomonadati; Pseudomonadota; Alphaproteobacteria; Hyphomicrobiales; Rhizobiaceae.
ACGGGUGAGUAACGCGUGGGAAUCUACCGUGCCCUGCGGAAUAGCUCCGGGAAACUGGAAUUAAUACCGCAUACGCCCUACGGGGGAAAGAUUUAUCGGGGUAUGAUGAGCCCGCGUUGGAUUACCUAGUUGGUGGGGUAAAGGCCUACCAAGGCGACGAUCCAUAGUUGGUCUGAGAGGAUGAUCAGCCACAUUGGGACUGAGACACGGCCCAAACUCCUACGGGAGGCAGCAGUGGGGAAUAUUGGACAAUGGGCGCAAGCCUGAUCCAGCCAUGCCGCGUGAGUGAUGAAGGCCUUAGGGUUGUAAAGCUCUUUCACCGGAGAAGAUAAUGACGGUAUCCGGAGAAGAAGCCCCGGCUAACUUCGUGCCAGCAGCCGCGGUAAUACGAAGGGGGCUAGCGUUGUUCGGAAUUACUGGGCGUAAAGCGCACGUAGGCGGAUAUUUAAGUCAGGGGUGAAAUCCCAGAGCUCAACUCUGGAACUGCCUUUGAUACUGGGUAUCUUGAGUAUGGAAGAGGUAAGUGGAAUUCCGAGUGUAGAGGUGAAAUUCGUAGA